AGCAAUCUAUACUGUGAAACUGCGAAUGGCUCAUUAAAUCAGUUAUCGUUUAUUUGAUAGUACCUUACUACUUGGAUAACCGUGGUAAUUCUAGAGCUAAUACAUGCUAAAAACCCCAACUUCGGAAGGGGUGUAUUUAUUAGAUAAAAAACCAAUGCCCUUCGGGGCUCCUUGGUGAUUCAUAAUAACUUAACGAAUCGCAUGGCCUUGCGCCGGCGAUGGUUCAUUCAAAUUUCUGCCCUAUCAACUUUCGAUGGUAGGAUAGUGGCCUACCAUGGUUUCAACGGGUAACGGGGAAUUAGGGUUCUAUUCCGGAGAGGGAGCCUGAGAAACGGCUACCACAUCCAAGGAAGGCAGCAGGCGCGCAAAUUACCCAAUCCCGACACGGGGAGGUAGUGACAAUAAAUACUGAUACAGGGCUCUUUUGGGUCUUGUAAUUGGAAUGAGUACAAUUUAAAUCCCUUAACGAGGAACAAUUGGAGGGCAAGUCUGGUGCCAGCAGCCGCGGUAAUUCCAGCUCCAAUAGCGUAUAUUAAAGUUGUUGCAGUUAAAAAGCUCGUAGUUGAACCUUGGGCUUGGCUGUCCGGUCCGCCUCACCGCGUGCACUGGUGCGGCCGAGCCUUUCCUUCUGGGGAGCCGCAUGCCCUUCACUGGGUGUGUCGGGGAACCAGGACUUUUACUUUGAAAAAAUUAGAGUGUUCAAAGCAGGCCUAUGCUCGAAUACAUUAGCAUGGAAUAAUAGAAUAGGACGUGUGGUUCUAUUUUGUUGGUUUCUAGGACCGCCGUAAUGAUUAAUAGGGAUAGUCGGGGGCAUCAGUAUUCAAUUGUCAGAGGUGAAAUUCUUGGAUUUAUUGAAGACUAACUACUGCGAAAGCAUUUGCCAAGGAUGUUUUCAUUAAUCAGUGAACGAAAGUUAGGGGAUCGAAGACGAUCAGAUACCGUCGUAGUCUUAACCAUAAACUAUGCCGACUAGGGAUCGGGCGAUGUUAUCAUUUUGACUCGCUCGGCACCUUACGAGAAAUCAAAGUCUUUGG
This 1034-nucleotide ribosomal RNA is filed under the name Sarea resinae. RNAcentral's name for it is "SSU rRNA". It matches the Rfam family "Eukaryotic small subunit ribosomal RNA", at positions 68 to 1110 of the family's 1831-position model. The record is from RNAcentral. Lineage: Eukaryota; Fungi; Ascomycota; Sareomycetes; Sareales; Zythiaceae.